Molecule: long non-coding RNA, 830 nt
Filed under: Malus domestica (apple)
Lineage: Eukaryota; Viridiplantae; Streptophyta; Magnoliopsida; Rosales; Rosaceae
Description: long non-coding RNA (MDOM_LNC012928)
Source: RNAcentral
UUCUAACAAAAUUUACAUUCAAAGAAGCAAGAAUAAAGCUUGUAACAAUUACAACAUUCAAAUCAUAAACUAUUAAAUUACAAAACCCAAAAGGAUUAACCAACUACUAGACCUAGGCUUUGAUACCACUUGAAUCAAAAUUUUGUGAAAAACAUGUUCAUUUGAGCAACAUCUAUGGCGUGCAAUUAACAAUUAAAGGCGGAAUCAUGCUUGUAUGCACUCAAAAACAAAACAUUACACAUGAAAUUCAAAGCCUAGUAGAAAGGUGAACCAAUACUCAACUCAAGAACAAAGUGAGUUGAGAGAUUUUAUACCUUUGUUGAUUCCUCUUUGCAUAAGCAAAGGCUAAUCACCCAAGGAGAGGGCCUUCAUUCCUUGAUUCUUAGAUCCAUGGAUUUCUUGGAUGAGGAUGGUUGAAAGGAUUCUCCAAGUUCCCAAAAUUGAGAACCUCUAAUUUUUCCACACUAAGGAAGGACUUGAAGAAGAGUUGAGUGACCUUCGAGGAUGAGAGAUUGCUAGCUAAUCUCCUCCAAGGGGGGCGGCCUCUUAGAGAGAAAGGGAGAGACAUUGUGUUCUCAUCUUUUCUCUAAAAGAAAACCCUAAUCAAGAAAAGGCUAUAAAGUCAUAUUUAUACCUACCUUCAUUGGAGUGGCAAACUUGUAAUAAGUCCAAAACCCACUCCAUUAUCAAUAUGGCCGGCCAUAGGGUGUAAUUGGGCUGUUUGGGCCUUUGUCAAUAUUUAGUCACUAAGUUGUCAUACAACUUAAGUCAAUGGGAUUGACGUUCGAAGCCCAUUGGGCCUUGAGGCCCAAAACUAACCCGAGGUCUUU